UACGUAGGGGGCAAGCGUUGUCCGGAUUUAUUGGGCGUAAAGAGCGUGUAGGCGGCUUUGCAAGUCCGUUGUGAAAACUCGAGGCUCAACCUCGAGACGCCGGUGGAAACUGCAAAGCUAGAGUCCGGAAGAGGAGAGUGGAAUUCCUGGUGUAGCGGUGAAAUGCGCAGAUAUCAGGAAGAACACCCGUGGCGAAGGCGGCUCUCUGGGCCGGUACUGACGCUGAGACGCGAAAGCGUGGGGAGCGAACAGG
This 253-nucleotide ribosomal RNA is filed under the name uncultured bacterium. Its description in RNAcentral is "partial 16S ribosomal RNA". It matches the Rfam family "Bacterial small subunit ribosomal RNA", at positions 524 to 776 of the family's 1533-position model. The record is from RNAcentral.